AAACUCCGAGGUGUGAUGACGAGGCUCCACGCGAGCCGAAGUGAAUAACGCCCCGCUUCCAGGAAAAGCCUCUAAGCUUCAGAUCACAUUGGACCGUACCGUAAACCGACACUGGUGGGCGAGCAGAUAAUCUGCCAAGGCGCUUGAGAGAACUCGGGUUAAGGAACUCUGCAAAUUGAUACCGUAACUUCGGAAGAAGGUAUGCCUUCGACGGUGUAGGGAUUUACUCCCGAAGCUGUUGAAGGUCGCAGGUAAUCGGUGGCUGCGACUGUUUAUCAAAAACACAGGACUCUGCGAACACGCAAGUGGAAGUAGGGUCUGACGCCUGCCCGGUGCCGGAAGGUUAAUUGAUGGGGUUAGCCGCAAGGCGAAGCUCUUGAUCGAAGCCCCGGUAAACGGCGGCCGUAACAAUAACGGUCCUAAGGUAGCGAAAUUCCUUGUCGGGUAAGUUCCGACCUGCACGAAUGGCGUAACGCUGGCCACACUGUCUCGACCCGAGACUCAGUGAAGUUGAAAUCGCUGUGAAGAUGCGGCGUUCCCGCGGCAAGACGGAAAGACCCCGUGAACCUUCACUACAGCUUUACACUGAACUUUGAACCUUUCUGUGUAGGAUAGGUGGGAGGCUAUGAAACUUGGGCGCUAGCUCGAGUGGAGCCAACCUUGAAAUACCACCCUGGGAUGUUUGAAGUUCUAACCUUGGUCCGUAAUCCGGAUUGGGGACAGUGUAUGGUGGGUAGUUUGACUGGGGCGGUCUCCUCCCAAAGAGUAACGGAGGAGUGCAAUGGUACGCUCAGCGCGGUCGGUCAUCGCGCUCUAGAGUGCAAAGGCAUAAGCGUGCUUAACUGUGAGACAGACACGUCGAACAGAUACGAAAGUAGGUCUUAGUGACCCGGUGGUUCUGUAUGGAAGGGCCAUCGCUCAACGGAUAAAAGGUACUCCGGGGAUAACAGGCUUAUUCCUCCCAAGAGUCCACAUCGACGGAGGAGUUUGGCACCUCGAUGUCGGCUCAUCACAUCCUGGGGCUGUAGCAGGUCCCAAGGGUAUGGCUGUUCGCCAUUUAAAGUGGUACGCGAGCUGGGUUCAGAACGUCGUGAGACAGUUCGGUCCCUAUCUGCCGUGGGCGUUGGAAACUUGAGGAGCUGUCCUUAGUACGAGAGGACCGGGAUGGACGUAUCUCUGGUGUUCCGGUUGUCACGCCAGUGGCACUGCCGGGUAGCUAUAUACGGACGGGAUAAGCGCUGAAAGCAUCUAAGCGCGAAGCCCCCCCCAAGAUUAGGUUUCCCUGGGAACUCGAUUCCCCUAAAGGGCCGUCGGAGACUACGACGUUGAUAGGCUGGGUGUGUAAGUGCAGCAAUGCAUUGAGCUAACCAGUACUAAUUGCCCGUGAGGCUUGACCC
This 1397-nucleotide ribosomal RNA is filed under the name metagenome. RNAcentral's name for it is "bacterial LSU rRNA". It matches the Rfam family "Bacterial large subunit ribosomal RNA", at positions 1551 to 2925 of the family's 2925-position model. The record is from RNAcentral.